Molecule: ribosomal RNA, 429 nt
Filed under: Bacillota bacterium
Lineage: Bacteria; Bacillati; Bacillota
Description: Firmicutes bacterium partial 16S ribosomal RNA
Rfam family: Bacterial small subunit ribosomal RNA
Source: RNAcentral
UAGGGAAUCUUCGGCAAUGGACGGAAGUCUGACCGAGCAACGCCGCGUGAGUGAAGAAGGUUUUCGGAUCGUAAAGCUCUGUUGUUAGAGAAGAACGUUGGUAGGAGUGGAAAAUCUACCAAGUGACGGUAACUAACCAGAAAGGGACGGCUAACUACGUGCCAGCAGCCGCGGUAAUACGUAGGUCCCGAGCGUUGUCCGGAUUUAUUGGGCGUAAAGCGAGCGCAGGCGGUUCUUUAAGUCUGAAGUUAAAGGCAGUGGCUUAACCAUUGUACGCUGUGGAAACGGGAGGAGUUGAGUGCAGAAGGGGGGAGUGGAAUUCCAUGUGUAGCGGUGAAAUGCGUAGAUAUAUGGAGGAACACCGGUGGCGAAAGCGGCUCUCUGGUCUGUAACUGACGCUGAGGCUCGAAAGCGUGGGGAGCAAACAGG